Non-coding RNA from Pelobates cultripes (western spadefoot toad), 399 nucleotides. The record is from the annotation of a GenBank genome assembly. Lineage: Eukaryota; Metazoa; Chordata; Amphibia; Anura; Pelobatidae.
CAAGACAAAAAUACAAUCACAAAGUUAUUGUUUGCUAUACAUUUCCUCUCAUAAGUUCUUUCCCAAUAUGCUUUUGGCUUUAAGAUCAUUUUCAAUGUCUGUCAUUCAUCAAAUGGCAUCUUUCAUCUGUCUUAGCAUAGCAGAUUUAUAAAGCCCUGUUUAUGGUCUUUGCUCAAUCUCAGUGAUUGUGCUUUGGAAAAAUUAUGAGCUUGAUGUUGACUUAUCCAAUAAUUCUUAUAUAGUGCUCUCAAAAAUUGUAACAUGUUUGGGAUUUGAAAUGCUAAGCUGCUUGUGCAGAAAAUGUAAUGAAAAAGUUUACUCUUUACUCUCUUGGCAGAAAAAUAAAAUACAAAAAAGAAAAAAAUAUCAGUAUCAACAACAUAUAAGCAUAUUAUUAAC